UGAGCCGAAGUCGGAUGCUCAACUGACUGAGCCACCCAGGUGCCCCUCUUUAUAUUUAACCUUAAUGACUUCUGUAAUUUCUUUUAAAGUCUGAUAUACUAUAGGGCUCUAACUUAAUUAACAUCCACAUAGGCUUAACAAAACCUAGGAACCCCAUAAAGGUAAACCAUCAACUGCGUUACUAGAUAACAUUGCUUUUGGUAAAAAUGACCUUAAUCGGCCAAUUGCUCCCGGACAGGGAAGAGCCAUACAUGAAUUAUACCUGCCGACGAGGACACCAGGCUCAGGGCUUGGGGGAAGCCUGGAAUCUAUACCUGUCGGGGUUUUAUAAAGGAUAUGGCUCCUACAGGGUGCAAGGCUUAAUGAUGGGAGGAGCUAGGGACCCGAUGGAUGGCUGUGCGAAGCAGUCACCUGCAGGAGCUCCUGGAGAGACCACUCACUGCCCAGGAGAGGGAGAGCCAGCGCUGUCCUGCGGGCAAGCCGAGGUUUCUGCCCUCCUCCUUUCAGACUAGAAAAUCCAAGGGGAACCCGAUCUGAAUAUCUGGCUGAAUAAACGAAGAGCCCCACGGGGCACAGCACUGGUUGAUGACACCAACCAACACCAUUCGUUGAAUAUCCACCUUUCCCCUGGCUGAUUAAAUCAUCACCUAAGUUACAAUAAACUAAUCUAUUUACAUAAGACUGUGAGCCCUCUCUUCUAUUCUAUUGAUUUUUGUCCAUUAUACCGUUCUUCUGGUUUUGUGGUGUGCUUUACUAUCUGGGAGAUCAAAUCCGUCCUCACUGAUCUUUUUCAAAAUCUUCUUGGCUAUUUUUGUCAUUCCUUCAUCAUUCAGCAGUGUUUCUGGGGCUGCUCCGCACACCAGACAGGGCUGAGAAGACAGUACCGAACAACACACGAUGCCCCUUGUAGGGGUUUCCUGGGGCUGCUGGAACCAAGUAGCACAAACUGGGGCACUUAAAAUAACUGCAAUGUAUGCUCUCACGGUUUUAGGAGCCAGAGGUCCAAGAUCAGGUAUUGGCGGGACCCUGCUCCCUCUGAAGCCUCUAGAGGAGGUUCAUUCCUCGGCUCUUCUGGCUUCGGGAGGCUCUGG
Long non-coding RNA from Herpailurus yagouaroundi (jaguarundi), 1091 nucleotides. RefSeq lists it as uncharacterized. The record is from RefSeq and is a predicted model, not a curated record. The transcript has 3 exons. Lineage: Eukaryota; Metazoa; Chordata; Mammalia; Carnivora; Felidae.